CGAAUAAACAAAAAUAAAGAGGACUGUGAACCUACGGUUUGGAAAAUGCAGAUCCAACGGUAGUCCUCGAUGAGAUCAGCUCUCUACAGCCUAUAUUGAACCUGAAAUGGGUGGAAAGGAGGGUAGUGAGAUUAUAAAAUCCCAAUGAGUAAACAGACAUCAUCAUAAAUAUCUAGAGUUGAGUACAUGAAGACAAUAAAAUAAAUCAUCGUAAACUGGGUCACAGCAUUAGAAUACAUUUCAUUUAAAAUAUGUAAAGAGGCUUAUGAAUCUCAUAAAAACUAGGCUUGUGCCAUAAAUCUAUUCUCAAGGACACCUUGGUCGAGGCAUCCUACCGAGAUCGCCAAGGCUAUUAAAAUUCACAUUUCACAUAAAUCAUGUUUUUUUUUUGUUUUGAAAACAUAGUCAUUCCUUGGCGUUGGCUGAGUUCCCCCUCACAUGGUGGUUUGGCGUGAAGUGAACCCUAAGCUUUACCCCAGGAGAUACCCUACGCGCCUCUCCAUUCGAGGUAAAAAUAUAAUGGGGUUUAUCGUGCCCCUCUAAAAGGCUGGUCCACAGAAACCCUCUACUGCAGUGAUUAAUUAAUAUAUAUAAUCCACUAUACAAUAAAACUCAAUAACAUGAUAUGACAAUUUUGUAAUUCACAGUCUUUCAAGGCAAUCAAACAAUUCGCAUUUCAAUACAAUUGCCAACUAGCCAAUCAUGUCCGAUUUAUCAUAAGCCAAUCAAUUUAAACAAUCAAAUUGCCACAAUUUACAGUCUCCGUGUACUCUAUUUUUCAAAAUCACUAUUAAUUUCAAAACAAUUUAUAAUUUAAUUUCAUUGAAACACAUUUAUUCAUAAAACAUGAAAAUUUACCUUUUUAAAUUCCUUUUUCCAUAGAAUUCAUGAAAUCAUCUAAAAACCACCAUAGAUAAUUAAAAUGACAGUAAGUUUACUCACAAUGUCUAGAAUGUAGACUUUCGAUGCACUCUGUCUACUGGUCAUCGGAUGCAAUUUCCUUGCCUUUAUCGGAGGACUCACCACCUUGACACAGUACAAAAUCGAGAAAUUCACUACAUUGGUACUAAUUGAAAUUAAACUAAUUUAGACUAUUAAUGCAUAAUAUGGAAUGCAAAAAUGCACUGGUAACUAUCUAAACUCAGUAUUGGCCUAAUUCGUCUUAUCACCCAAUUAAAUUACUAACGCGUCCAAUUUAAUCUUAAAUUAAUUUUUUUCAGUUUCUAUACCUCAAUUGCACCCAAAUUGACUUAAUGUCCCUCAGUGUGGUGCAAAUUAUCAGUCUCGAUAGUAAAUUACGAAAAUACCCCUAAUGGGUAAAAAUUCGUAUUUUUACUCCGAAAAUUCUCAUUAUUUUUCUAGGCUCAUAAUUCAUCAUUUCUUAACCAAUUCUCCUAGAACAAAAAUCAAACUCAUCCUCACUCAUACAUGGUAAAUUUGGCCCUUAAUGGUUGUGAGAGAAAAUAAAUUCUUUUCUUAUUGUUUUGUUUCUAAAUAUGCUAAACUAACUAAAAACACUAACAUAACUUAAAAUCAAAUUAAUUUAACAACUUUCUCUCUCCUAACCCAUUUUGAUCAGCCAACAAUUCAUCAUAAAAACAUGUAAUUUAAGCAUGGAAAAUAAGGAGAAAUGCUUAAGGAAAAUAGGUUUCAAGCUUAAGUUGAAAAAUCUUACCUUUUUCACUUGUUUUCCUUGAUUUUUCACACUUUUUCUUUUGAAAUUCCUCACCUAGGGUUUGUUCUUCCUCUCUUUCUCUCUCUUCCUUG
This 1767-nucleotide long non-coding RNA is filed under the name Theobroma cacao (cacao). RNAcentral's name for it is "long non-coding RNA (TCAC_LNC002082)". Lineage: Eukaryota; Viridiplantae; Streptophyta; Magnoliopsida; Malvales; Malvaceae. The record is from RNAcentral.